UACGAAGGGGGCUAGCGUUGCUCGGAAUCACUGGGCGUAAGGCGCACGUAGGCGGAUUGUUAAGUCAGGGGUGAAAUCCUGGAGCUCAACUCCAGAACUGCCUUUGAUACUGGCGAUCUUGAGUCCGGGAGAGGUGAGUGGAACUGCGAGUGUAGAGGUGAAAUUCGUAGAUAUUCGCAAGAACACCAGUGGCGAAGGCGGCUCACUGGCCCGGUACUGACGCUGAGGUGCGAAAGCGUGGGGAGCAAACAGG
Molecule: ribosomal RNA, 253 nt
Filed under: uncultured bacterium
Lineage: Bacteria
Description: partial 16S ribosomal RNA
Rfam family: Bacterial small subunit ribosomal RNA
Source: RNAcentral